Molecule: small nucleolar RNA, 82 nt
Organism: Nycticebus coucang (slow loris)
Lineage: Eukaryota; Metazoa; Chordata; Mammalia; Primates; Lorisidae
Product: small nucleolar RNA SNORD115
Exons: 1
Source: RefSeq, a predicted model, not a curated record
GGGUUGAUGAUGACAACCUAAUGUCUGAAAAGUAGUGAUGAAUAAAAAAAAAAUAAUACACCAGGGGAUUGAGCUGAGGCCC